UGAUAGCUUAGUCGGUAUAGCGCGGGAUUCGUAAUCCUGAGAUCGCGGGUUCAAUUCCCGCUCG
RNAcentral lists this transfer RNA (64 nucleotides) under bovine gut metagenome. It matches the Rfam family "tRNA", at positions 6 to 65 of the family's 71-position model. From Rfam's summary of the family: Transfer RNA (tRNA) molecules are approximately 80 nucleotides in length. Their secondary structure includes four short double-helical elements and three loops (D, anti-codon, and T loops). Further hydrogen bonds mediate the characteristic L-shaped molecular structure. tRNAs have two regions of fundamental functional importance: the anti-codon, which is responsible for specific mRNA codon recognition, and the 3' end, to which the tRNAs corresponding amino acid is attached (by aminoacyl-tRNA synthetases). tRNAs cope with the degeneracy of the genetic code in two manners: having more than one tRNA (with a specific anti-codon) for a particular amino acid; and 'wobble' base-pairing, i.e. permitting non-standard base-pairing at the 3rd anti-codon position. The record is from RNAcentral.